GCAGGUUUGGUACCCUGUAGAUCUGGGUUCAAGGCCGGGUGGGGUGACUGUCCUCUUUCUUCGCUACAAAUAGGGUUCACUCAAAUAAAUGUUUUAAACUUUGUAGAAGUUCCUGCAAUCAGGUGUGUGCAUGUUUGUGGACCUUGACACUGACUGCUGAUUGUUGUCUUCUGUUUAGUUAGAGGCUUAGCAGGUUUUUAUCUUGAUAUUUGGAAUUUGGCUUUCUCUUUAUUUUCAUUAAUAACUUUUUGGGUUGAAUUUUGAAUCUGCGUUCCCUAAUCUGCAUUUUGUGUGUUGGAUUUAUGGUGUGUUUGAUCUUUUUGAAGAGUUAAUAAACCCAUAUGACUUUUUAACCCUCACUCUGACUCUGAGCUUUUGGCCACACCCACAUAUAGACGGUGACCCAACGCUUGGGUCUUCACAAACACAGACAAAUAAAUUGACACUUCCGCCUCUUUACCUGAUAUCAUAAAUAGCUUCGCCCAGCAUGUCUGUCACUGUGGACACAUCUCUUAGGUCCUGUAAAUGCUCAGUGCAAUUUUAAUGCUGAUCAACUAAGGCAAGUAGUCCUAGAAGAAGUCACACUGUCAGAAGCAAAACUGGUUGAAAGGAGAGCAGUUUUAUUUAAUUACUGAUCACUGCUCUCUUUUUUUCAAUUCAUAGAAUGGUCUGCAUAUACAUUGACCUUGAAAUGAUGAUCUUGAUAUAUUCCGCCCUGUUGCAGAUCACUACUGUGUUUACAGGUAAGACCAAAUCUUAUAUAAACAUGAAUGAAAAUAAUUAUAUUACUUACUUGCUUGUUUCUAACUUUCCUUCUUUUCAAUUCUCUCUCUCUCUCUCUCUCUCUCUCUCUCUCUCUCUCUUUCUCUUCGGAUGGAAAACGUUACCAACCAGACACCACAGUAACAGCAAAGAUAGGAGACAAUGUAACUCUGAAAUGUGACGCAGAUGUAACAACUAACUUCAGCUCCAUCUCCUGGUUUCACCUAAAACCACCAAAACAUCUUCAAUAUAUUGUAGGAACUUUU
Clupea harengus (Atlantic herring) is the source of this 1028-nucleotide long non-coding RNA. NCBI's taxonomy places the organism in Eukaryota, Metazoa, Chordata, Actinopteri, Clupeiformes, Clupeidae. The record is from Ensembl.